Molecule: non-coding RNA, 24 nt
Filed under: Cricetulus griseus (Chinese hamster)
Lineage: Eukaryota; Metazoa; Chordata; Mammalia; Rodentia; Cricetidae
Source: RNAcentral
UACAGGUACUGGUAUAUUUAAGGC